CGCCAGCUCGAGCCGGGGAGAGAUGCUGCGGCCAGGGCAAGGGGGUAGGAGCGCGCCUCCUCCAAGGAUGCUGCUGCGGAUGCUGCAAUCAGCAUCCCGCCAGUCCUACAGAUGCAGUGGGCCUGAAGCUGGGACCUUUUGCAUUGAGCCACAGUUCUCUCCCAAAGGGAGGCAGGUAGGAGAUGUUCGUGCCAAGACUCCUCUGCUGCUUCUGUUUGAUCUCUUGAAAGGAGGAGAGCGCAGCUGCUCUUUGGAGUCCAGGUCCCUCUCAAGUGCAGUAUAACCC
Molecule: non-coding RNA, 286 nt
Organism: Podarcis muralis (Common wall lizard)
Lineage: Eukaryota; Metazoa; Chordata; Lepidosauria; Squamata; Lacertidae
Source: RefSeq, a predicted model, not a curated record